RNAcentral lists this ribosomal RNA (331 nucleotides) under Serratia marcescens. RNAcentral describes it as "bacterial LSU rRNA". It matches the Rfam family "Bacterial large subunit ribosomal RNA", at positions 2073 to 2403 of the family's 2925-position model. Lineage: Bacteria; Pseudomonadati; Pseudomonadota; Gammaproteobacteria; Enterobacterales; Yersiniaceae. The record is from RNAcentral.
CGGCAAGACGGAAAGACCCCGUGAACCUUUACUAUAGCUUGACACUGAACAUUGAGCCUUGAUGUGUAGGAUAGGUGGGAGGCUUUGAAGCGUGGACGCCAGUCUGCGUGGAGCCAUCCUUGAAAUACCACCCUUUAAUGUUUGAUGUUCUAACUCGGCCCCAUAAUCUGGGGUGAGGACAGUGUCUGGUGGGUAGUUUGACUGGGGCGGUCUCCUCCCAAAGAGUAACGGAGGAGCACGAAGGUUAGCUAAUCACGGUCGGACAUCGUGAGGUUAGUGCAAAGGCAUAAGCUAGCUUGACUGCGAGAGUGACGGCUCGAGCAGGUACGAA